GGAGAGAUGGCCGAGUGGUCGAAGGCAACCGAUUGCUAAUCGGUUGAGGGGUAAAAAGCCCCUCCCAGGGUUCGAAUCCCUGUCUCUCCG
This 90-nucleotide transfer RNA is filed under the name Caldifarciminota bacterium. RNAcentral describes it as "tRNA-Ser". It matches the Rfam family "tRNA". From Rfam's summary of the family: Transfer RNA (tRNA) molecules are approximately 80 nucleotides in length. Their secondary structure includes four short double-helical elements and three loops (D, anti-codon, and T loops). Further hydrogen bonds mediate the characteristic L-shaped molecular structure. tRNAs have two regions of fundamental functional importance: the anti-codon, which is responsible for specific mRNA codon recognition, and the 3' end, to which the tRNAs corresponding amino acid is attached (by aminoacyl-tRNA synthetases). tRNAs cope with the degeneracy of the genetic code in two manners: having more than one tRNA (with a specific anti-codon) for a particular amino acid; and 'wobble' base-pairing, i.e. permitting non-standard base-pairing at the 3rd anti-codon position. Lineage: Bacteria; Pseudomonadati; Caldifarciminota. The record is from RNAcentral. RNAcentral also lists the same sequence under 2 other names.